GACGAACGCUGGCGGCGUGCUUAACACAUGCAAGUCGAACGGAAAGGCCCUGCUUUUGUGGGGUGCUCGAGUGGCGAACGGGUGAGUAACACGUGAGUAACCUGCCCUUGACUUUGGGAUAACUUCAGGAAACUGGGGCUAAUACCGGAUAGGAGCUCCUGCUGCAUGGUGGGGGUUGGAAAGUUUCGGCGGUUGGGGAUGGACUCGCGGCUUAUCAGCUUGUUGGUGGGGUAGUGGCUUACCAAGGCUUUGACGGGUAGCCGGCCUGAGAGGGUGACCGGCCACAUUGGGACUGAGAUACGGCGCAGACUCCUACGGGAGGCAGCAGUGGGGAAUAUUGCACAAUGGGCGGAAGCCUGAUGCAGCAACGCCGCGUGCGGGAUGACGGCCUUCUGGUUGUAAACCGCUUUCGCCUGUGACGAAGCGUGAGUGACGGUAAUGGGUAAAGAAGCACCGGCUAACUACGUG
RNAcentral lists this ribosomal RNA (468 nucleotides) under uncultured bacterium. RNAcentral describes it as "partial 16S ribosomal RNA". It matches the Rfam family "Bacterial small subunit ribosomal RNA", at positions 28 to 507 of the family's 1533-position model. The record is from RNAcentral.